UCUGACCGUGCAAAGGUAGCGUAAUCACUUGUUCUUUAAAUGAGGACUAGUAUGAACGGCAUCACGAGGGUUAUGCUGUCUCCCCGACCCAUUCAGUGAAACUGAUCUCCCCGUGAAGAAGCGGGGAUAAAAAUAUAAGACGAGAAGACCCCAUGGAGCUUUAAACUCAGAAUCAACUGCCACACAAAAUAACCUAAUAUUCAUGCAACCCUGAUUUCUAGUUUUCGGUUGGGGUGACCACGGAGUAAAAACUAACCUCCACGGCGAAAGGAAAUAACAACCUAAACCAAGAGCCACAGCUCUAAGUAUUAACAAAUUAACUAACUGAUCCAAUUGCUUGAUCAACGAACCAAGUUACCCUGGGGAUAACAGCGCAAUCCAUUUCAAGAGCUCAUAUCGACAAAUGGGUUUACGACCUCGAUGUUGGAUCAGGGUAUCCCAGUGGCGCAGCCGCUACUAACGGUUCGUUUGUUCAACGAUUAAAAUCUUACGUGAUCUGAGUUAGAACCGGAGAAG
Molecule: ribosomal RNA, 516 nt
Filed under: Microhyla achatina (Java rice frog)
Lineage: Eukaryota; Metazoa; Chordata; Amphibia; Anura; Microhylidae
Description: partial 16S rRNA
Rfam family: Bacterial large subunit ribosomal RNA
Source: RNAcentral